This 732-nucleotide long non-coding RNA is filed under the name Marmota monax (woodchuck). The record is from RNAcentral. Lineage: Eukaryota; Metazoa; Chordata; Mammalia; Rodentia; Sciuridae.
CAUUUGCCAGGUGCAGUACUAUUGCCUUUCAAUAUCUGACUCUGUGAUCAUCCUGCUCCACACAUUGCCUGUAGUGGUCUAGCCUCCCCAGCACCUUGGGGAGGAUGGAAGACCUAUCUCCAAAAGGCUCACACCUGUUAACUACUCUGAAUAAACACUUUUGCAGGACUAGAUAAUUAUAAUUGUAACAUUUUUAAGUCUUCAUUUUCAAGUUCAUUCAUAUAGAUCAUUGAGAUCUGGCAGGGAAAUACUCUGCAUACACUUUUGUCUGACUUGCACUUGGAAAGAAUCACCGACCUGUUUGGAAUGCUCUCUGCCCCCAUUGUACACACACUAGAAGUAGGCAAAACACGCUUUGAGAACUUGUGUUAACCUUAAUCAAGUUACUGGAUCUCUCUGGGCUUCUGUUUGCUGAUCUGGAAAAUAAAGAUGCUAGACUAGGUGACUUGUGAGAUCCUUCUAGACCCAGCUGCCUAUGACUAUAUGUCAUUCAUCUUGAAUAGAAAACAGGAAGUCUCUUUCAUUAUUCUAAAUUGUUAAAAACUAAAUAAAUAAUAAAUUUUAAAAAAUAAAUUGUUGAAGUUCUAACCUACAGUAGGAAACAAUGAGGAGAAAAAAAAAAAAAAACAACCUGUAUUCUCCUUCACCCUAGUGUUCUAGUUUCUUUUAACCCCUUGAAAGAGCCUCAAAAGUAAGCGUCUAAAAUAUACUAUCUCACCUUUGCUUUUUCUG